UUNAUGACCGACCUGCAGGUCGAGGAACUGGAUCAUUCCACGUAUGGCUGUCGAAUGGUAUUUUGCUUUGGAAAGAACCCAUACUUCCGCAAUGCAGAGAUCAUGAAGGAGUAUCACCUGAGCCUCACUGCAGGAUACAGGGCAG
Long non-coding RNA from Galeopterus variegatus (Sunda flying lemur), 145 nucleotides. RefSeq lists it as uncharacterized. The record is from RefSeq and is a predicted model, not a curated record. The transcript has 3 exons. NCBI's taxonomy places the organism in Eukaryota, Metazoa, Chordata, Mammalia, Dermoptera, Cynocephalidae.